GUUUGUUUUACUGCAGCCCACUGUGAAGUAGCUCUUCUGUUCCAUGGUAUGCAGAUGUUUUCCUGGAACCUGAGAAAGUCUGUGUUGAGGUGCGUAGAUAUAUACGUUAUACUUCUUGUCCCUAAAGAGCCAGGAACAUGAACUUGGAUGAACAGUCUUCCAAAGGAUACUGUUGUCAUCUAAACCUAAUUCAACUUUGCGAAUAUUGCUACAUCUUCACAGACUUUCAUGGGCUUGGACCUACGUCAGCUGUGAUGCAUUUUAAGUGGGACCAUGGUCACGUAUCAGAACUGUCGGUAACGCACGGAGAUCAUCUUUGCCAACUCUUCCCUAUGUGCUGCGGGUCUGAACGAGCAUGGCUGUGCAAUACACCAUGUGCUCCCCUCGAGGAGGAAGCGUGGUGACACUGCUGUGUGCCCUGCAGUCUCGCUUGAUAUUCUCCACAAUAAUGCAGUGAGGCAGUGACUGAGAACGGAUUACUAAGUAAUUUGGAGAGCUGCAAAAUGACUGGACUGCAUCCCAAGACUUAGUGAACACACAGCACAACAACUCAAAGGAUUUUUAAACAGUCUACAUGAUUAAACAUGAUGUCCUCUUUUAAGGUUUUUUCCUGUUUAAAUUAAAUAAAAUGGAAAAAUGUUUUUCCUGGGGGAAACAAAGUCGUCUUAUAUCCAUAUUGAAUUCAGUCAAGUAAUUGCAGAUCCUGUACUUUAAUAUCUUGAAUGAAGCAGGAAGUUUCUCUCUGUGCCCAGGGAGAAGGACCAAUGGAGAGAGUUAAUAAUUGCUUAAGGCAAGUUAUUGCUUUUUCACCUUUCUUCCUAUUUCAGUUGCCCAGACUGUGAGCUGAGACUUUCUUACACGCUGCAUAGACUUUCAUAACAAGAAGUUCAUCAGAAAGAGAAAUAGGCUAUAUUGUAAUUUGGGGAUAUAAGUGAAAUAACUUUUAGGGAAAAACAAACAAACAAACAAAAACCUAAACCCAACUGACAAACAAUAAAACCUCUCCAGUUCAAGAUAUCCUAGCACAGAAAGAGUAGCCUAGUUUUAUACGUACAUUUAUCUAUACAUUUUUACUGGACAACCUUUAUAAACAAAGCCUCCAGUCUGCCAAAAAACUGAAGCACACACUGACUACUUAGCUUUAUUGCCAUUAAGACUGCACAAGAAAACUUGAGUCAAAAGGAUAUAAUGUUUUUUUCUUGAAAUUCAAAGGAGCUUUGGCUUUGAUUUUCACUAAAAUGACAGAGGGACUGGUAUUUCUAGAAUAAUGGUAUUUUGUACUCUAUAGCUCUGAAAGCACUGUGCAAAGGUGAAUGUGAAUAAAUAGAGAAGCAGUAGAGAUGGGGGAGAGCAGGAGCACAUAGAUAAGGAAUUGUAUGGCCCACGAUCUUGGUGAACCCAUAGCAGUUCUGAGAACGGAACGCAGGUGUCCUGAUUUCCCAUCUGGUACUUACCUUGUACUGCACUGUCUCUGCCGAAACUAUUCAACUCAUCUGUGGCUUUGCCAACGGAACAUAUAGCUGCUUCCCUAGUGGCUGCCUUUCUAUAAAUGACCUAGAUGAGGGGGAAUACUUGCCAUGAAGAAUUUAAAGAUGGACAAAAUUACAGGAAGAGAGCCAGGUAAUGGAUGUAAGUUGGUUUAGGAUUUGGAAAUCUGUGGAGUUUUUAUAGGAACUGGAACUGUAGUGCACUUGUGUUUGCUGUAGGAUUUACUAGCCACUUGAUGGACUCUGUAGAAGUGAUAUGGUGAGUUAAACGGUGAGUUAAACCUGAGGACAAAGAAGAGCUACAGAAAAUCUCUAGAGUUUCUCCAAGGUGAACCAGCUGUCUUCUUUUUAACUUCUACAUGAGUAUUGGAAUUGGAGACCCAGACAACCUAUUUUCAAACAGUUCCAAUUAUUUAUAUAUCUCGGAUCAACCUUUAUUAUAAGCAGUUAUGUAUUCAGAAUUUUAUGAUCCCAUCAAAAAAGUUAAGUGAUUAACAGCGGCAGGUUUUACUGCAGGUCCUAUAAUUUAUGUAGUCAGACUCAGAUUCAUAGCUUUGUUCUGUCUUCUCCAUCCUAUAAUAUAUUGGUUGUCCAGUGCGGUCUUGAGCCCAGUAAAUCUCUGAAGAGAUCACUCUUGAAAAGUGAGGCUCUCCAAUGUCAUGUAGCAGGCUGUAGGCAAAUCAUGGCUGAAAAAGCAGCAUGUGCAAUGUGUGUGUGCUAGAACAGCCAACAAGGCUGCUUUGGAAGAAACCAGGUUAGAAUGGAAGCUCUUCCAGUUGUAUGAAUGUAUGUAGUAACUUCUGCUCUUAGCCUAGCUAAGAGUAGCAUGUAUGUCAUUGAUAUGCUGAGAGGAUAUAUAUGAAAAAAACAGACUUCGUCUAAUACAUGAAAUGGAAGAUGUUAGAGAGGAAGGAGGAAACUUGGAAAAACACCAAGCUCUGCUCUCUCCUCAACCAGAGGGUGAAAAUAUCUGUCAUUCACAUAUCCUACAACUUUUCUUUAAACUUAAGCUGCUACUCCAGAGUGUUCUUGGCUAUUUAGAAAUCUGUAGAAGAGCAGCUGGAUCAGGUGAGUGUGGCUUCCUCAGAGCCUUGUCUUCAUCUUGCAAUAUCUUAGGCACUGCUUUCCUGAGCUGUUUCAUGGGCCCCUUUUCCUUUAUUGCACAUUGUUUUAUCAACAUAUAGCACACGCAACAGUGGAAUGUCACAUGUGCUCUAUUAAGGUUAACAGAAACAGACCUUUACUCUUUCCUUUUGUCUGUGACCUGAGACUCUGAAAGAGCAGCUUAGUAGGCAUUACUUUAAUUUGCAGUAAAGGAUGUGAUCAAUACCACAGAAUUUGACAUCUAACAACAAUCAAGUUACUUAGUGUGUGGAAUUUAUCUUUUUUUCCAGGAGCUGCCUUCUUUCAGCACAGCAUUAGCAGGCAUUAACUAUACAUCCUAAAUAGAAUUAAAAGUAGCUAUGCCCCUCAUUGCUAUGCCCCCCAUUUCCAGACCAAGUGUCCCAUAUGUGCUAGGAGUUUGUCUUGGCUCUCAUUUUUACCUACAAGAUUUCCGUGUACCACCCUCAACAGUUUUAGAGACAAUCAGUUCUAACAAUUACUUGACACCUCAAGCUUUAGUGGUGGUAGCACAGAAGAGGGAUGAUGUUUUGACCCUUGUCCAGGUUACACGUCUCUACAACUCUCACUAGUGCCCCUUGCUUAUCCCUCUUUAUUUGGGAGACUGUUCUGCCCAUCAUUUUAAUCGUAUGAGGGGCUCUGUGUCCCUGCUUUUGCCAUAGCAUGGUUCCCUGGGAUUUCUUUACACCAGUGGAUCUGUGAACCCUGUAAGCUGCACUCCUUGUUUUAUCUUCCUGAUUCUAACAGAAAUUCUGUCAAUAUCCUCACACUCGCAUGUUGUGGUGCCAAUUUCCUUUUUCCUCAUGUAAGGAAACUGAUACAUACUCUCCCUUCCCUUCUUACCCACAGUUAAUCCCCUAUCCAUUUUUGGUUUAUCUCUCUGGGUUAUCUCAAUAAAAUGAGAAUGGUCCAGACCACAGAUGCAUAAAACAUUGUUUCUGAUGAAGUUACACAAUUAACUGAAUGCACAGUUUACAUGCUACCAUGUGAUGGAUAGAAAAAGUUAAGUUGAACGUACAGUCUUGUUUUGCUCGGCAAACAAAGCAGACAUAACUUACCUCUGAGUUGCAGUGGAAGACGUGCAUUGUAAACUCCUGUUAGCAUCAUGGUGCUGAGAACUGCAGGGCAGCCUCAUUCUCAGCAGGUUUGAGUUGGGUUUUUCCAUCUCCCUUGAACAAAUAAAGAAAAUGUUUGGAAUUGUUUUAAGAACUAAGGCAACUUGGUAAUGAUGGUGUAAUACAGAAGAAAAUAUCUAAAAAAGGAUGUACUGACUUCAGUUCUUUUGGCAGAAAAACCUGAGGCAUCCACAGUUUUCCUUUUGUUUCUCCUGCUUUUGAAGUAUCUUGAAAAAAAAAAAAAAAAAAAGCCAAACCAAAAAAAAGAAAAAAGAAA
This is a long non-coding RNA of Columba livia (rock pigeon), 4001 nucleotides long. RefSeq lists it as uncharacterized. The record is from RefSeq and is a predicted model, not a curated record. The transcript has 3 exons. Lineage: Eukaryota; Metazoa; Chordata; Aves; Columbiformes; Columbidae.